GAUGAACGCUGGCGGCGUGCCUAAUACAUGCAAGUCGAGCGAACGGACGAGAAGCUUGCUUCUCUGAUGUUAGCGGCGGACGGGUGAGUAACACGUGGAUAACCUACCUAUAAGACUGGGAUAACUUCGGGAAACCGGAGCUAAUACCGGAUAAUAUAUUGAACCGCAUGGUUCAAUAGUGAAAGACGGUUUUGCUGUCACUUAUAGAUGGAUCCGCGCCGCAUUAGCUAGUUGGUAAGGUAACGGCUUACCAAGGCGACGAUGCGUAGCCGACCUGAGAGGGUGAUCGGCCACACUGGAACUGAGACACGGUCCAGACUCCUACGGGAGGCAGCAGUAGGGAAUCUUCCGCAAUGGGCGAAAGCCUGACGGAGCAACGCCGCGUGAGUGAUGAAGGUCUUCGGAUCGUAAAACUCUGUUAUUAGGGAAGAACAAAUGUGUAAGUAACUAUGCACGUCUUGACGGUACCUAAUCAGAAAGCCACGGCUAACUACGUG
Molecule: ribosomal RNA, 497 nt
Filed under: uncultured bacterium
Lineage: Bacteria
Description: partial 16S ribosomal RNA
Rfam family: Bacterial small subunit ribosomal RNA
Source: RNAcentral